Non-coding RNA from Heterocephalus glaber (naked mole-rat), 1765 nucleotides. The record is from RefSeq and is a predicted model, not a curated record. Lineage: Eukaryota; Metazoa; Chordata; Mammalia; Rodentia; Bathyergidae.
GCCCCAGGAAGAGCGCGGAGGAGGCGCACGUUCCUCGCUGCCCGUGAAGGUUUGCCUUUUUCAGGUGGAUAAAAAUUGCAGUGGGAUGUUCCCACGCACCCUAAAAGCAGGAGCCUAAAGGAUAUAAAGAGUAACUCCUCUCCAGCUUAGGUCGCUCGCGCAGAGCUCUAGAAUUGUCACGGUUCUGCCCCCUCGCGCUCGCACCCCAGGUUUGCUAGAAAGCGCCCCGCCUUCUCUUGACAUCUGUUCGGCCGCUCACUGCCUCUUUCCAAACUAAUCCAUAACAGCUUUUCCUUGAGGUGGAGGCUGCGGUAGCCUGAGGUGAAAAUGCCGGAAAACGGAAGCCGCCCUCGGCCAAAGACCCGCGCAGCCUUGGCCGCCAACCUGGGGGAGGGUCCUCCACUGUAAGCCGGGGCCGCUUCACAUGGUUUCUAGAGCCGCGCGGCUCUGGGGUGAGGGUGGCCCGCGGGGGUGUCACCCUCAGCGCGUCCGGCUGCGUAGCUACGCCGCCCCCUGCCGGUGCCCCACGGAACUGUGUUCUAAACCCGGAAACCAGACUGGACCCUAGAACCUAAGACCCUGUCCCCUAGCACAAAGCCUAAAGUGAGGGGGUACACAUGUGACGCAUGUCUACACGGAUCUUGUAAACCCACCACCUCCUUCCGAGCACAUCCAUGUAUUCCUCUGUCCAGCCAUCCACACAGGAAGACUUUCUACUCGAGUGUAUUGUGUGUAUGUGGGGGGGUAUGUGCCAGGAACCAAGGUCUGGAUGUUCAGAAUUGGAUGUAACUAUGGGGACCAAUGUGUUUCAUCCUGAAGCAACUGCUUAGGGCUAAAAUGCAGAAUGACCUGAUUAGGCUGAUGGGAGAGUUCUCCAGCCAGGAAUGUCCUCUGCAGCAUUGGAGAGGUAGCAAGCUAACAGCUUCAUGGAGGUUUCUCAUUUAUAAGAAACUUACUCACAGGGAAACAGUGGAGGAUUUGAAGACUAGCCCAAUUACACUAGUAGUGGUGCCAUUUCCCCUUCUUUCCUCUGUUUCCUGUCUUCUCAAAAGUGGUCUAACAGAGUAGAUAGGAAAUAAACAAAUAUGAAAUUAUUUUCCAAAGCUCAUACCACAUGGAGAGAGAGGAGUUCAUAGAACUGCUGUUCAAACUUAUUACUUCCUUCUCUCAUAGCUCUCUGCCAGUAUCUCUCAUAAUCAUGUCCUGGCUUGGUCUUUUUCGACACCAGCUUAUACACUCUCCAUUGAUUUUCCACCUUCCACUGCUUCUACCCUUUGAUCCUAUUCACAAAAGCAAAAUGAUCCUGUAGAAGCACCAUGGUGUGCAGGCAGACCAGUGGCACUAUAAGAAAUGAGCCCUAUCCCACCCCCCUCCCCCUUGUUAGCUUCCUUUGUAGGGCAACUCCCAGUUAUCUCUGAAACCACUGUGGGACAGCAUCCUUUUCCAUGCAUGCACACAGAAUAGAAUUCAUUUCACAGUCAGUUGAAGGUCUCCCUGCUGUCCAGUUAGUGUUAGUUGAGUAGCACCUGAUCAGAGUGUUUCAUGUAAAAAGUCAAAAUUCAUUUGGGAGACUAAGUUUUUGAGGGAAAUGGUGCUUUUCAAAUGAUUCUUCACAUGUUUCUUCAGGGAAAUAAAUGCUUCUUUACCGCCUAUAAAAGACCAACAGUAUACUAGGUCAUACAACUUAUAGGUUAGUCCGAAAAUAAUAUAAUAACAAUGUUACUAGUAAUCAAAAAAUUAAAUUUUCUAAUCUUAAAUUUUAUAA